RNAcentral lists this ribosomal RNA (950 nucleotides) under uncultured bacterium. Its description in RNAcentral is "bacterial SSU rRNA". It matches the Rfam family "Bacterial small subunit ribosomal RNA", at positions 1 to 943 of the family's 1533-position model. The record is from RNAcentral.
AUUCGCCCUUAGAGUUUGAUCCUGGCUCAGAUUGAACGCUGGCGGCAGGCCUAACACAUGCAAGUCGAGCGGUAGAGAGAAGCUUGCUUCUCUUGAGAGCGGCGGACGGGUGAGUAAUGCCUAGGAAUCUGCCUGGUAGUGGGGGAUAACGUUCGGAAACGGACGCUAAUACCGCAUACGUCCUACGGGAGAAAGCAGGGGACCUUCGGGCCUUGCGCUAUCAGAUGAGCCUAGGUCGGAUUAGCUAGUUGGUGAGGUAAUGGCUCACCAAGGCGACGAUCCGUAACUGGUCUGAGAGGAUGAUCAGUCACACUGGAACUGAGACACGGUCCAGACUCCUACGGGAGGCAGCAGUGGGGAAUAUUGGACAAUGGGCGAAAGCCUGAUCCAGCCAUGCCGCGUGUGUGAAGAAGGUCUUCGGAUUGUAAAGCACUUUAAGUUGGGAGGAAGGGCAGUAAAUUAAUACUUUGCUGUUUUGACGUUACCGACAGAAUAAGCACCGGCUAACUCUGUGCCAGCAGCCGCGGUAAUACAGAGGGUGCAAGCGUUAAUCGGAAUUACUGGGCGUAAAGCGCGCGUAGGUGGUUUGUUAAGUUGGAUGUGAAAUCCCCGGGCUCAACCUGGGAACUGCAUUCAAAACUGACUGACUAGAGUAUGGUAGAGGGUGGUGGAAUUUCCUGUGUAGCGGUGAAAUGCGUAGAUAUAGGAAGGAACACCAGUGGCGAAGGCGACCACCUGGACUAAUACUGACACUGAGGUGCGAAAGCGUGGGGAGCAAACAGGAUUAGAUACCCUGGUAGUCCACGCCGUAAACGAUGUCAACUAGCCGUUGGAAGCCUUGAGCUUUUAGUGGCGCAGCUAACGCAUUAAGUUGACCGCCUGGGGAGUACGGCCGCAAGGUUAAAACUCAAAUGAAUUGACGGGGGCCCGCACAAGCGGUGGAGCAUGUG